Molecule: long non-coding RNA, 4717 nt
Organism: Triticum dicoccoides
Lineage: Eukaryota; Viridiplantae; Streptophyta; Magnoliopsida; Poales; Poaceae
Exons: 8
Source: RefSeq, a predicted model, not a curated record
CAUCGUCCCCCCGCCGCCCCUCUCCUUCGAUCUGAUCUCCUUGGCGCCCCGCCGUCGCCGGCGACUCCUCGGCUCCUCGCAGUCGCCGUCACAUCAGACGCCGGCCACUCCUCCGCGGCCUCACGUUGUCGUCCUCUCCUUCGCAAGGAACACCCGACCCUUCCUCCGCGGCCUUGUGACGCCGACCACUCCUUCGUGGCCUCACGCUGCCCUCCUCUCCCUCCUUCCUUCGUCCAAGGCCAGGACUUCCCCUCCCUGACCCGAUCUGACGGAGAGAGGGCCAAGCCUUGCCACUCCAGUGGUCACUUUGGCCAAAUCCGGUCGGGGGAGCCACCGUAGAGCCUCAACGUCGGCGCAGCAGCAGCAGUCCUUGCGACGGUGGGUGCCGGAGCUCGUCAAGCAACUCGCCGUCGGCGGCCACGACCACCUCAUUCCCUGCCGUGUGUCUCCGUCAACUACUGUGGCAUUGACGACAGCGAGCUAGGAGCCUACGAGGUAGACGCCCUGCUGACUAUGUCGUCAAGGCCUCCACAUGGCUCCUCUUGCGGCAAACUGCUGGUUGUUUGCCAUGUCCUUGAUCACCCUAAUUUAAUCCAAGUCAGGGUAGUCUCUUGCAUUAAGCCAUCUGGCUCUGCUCUGCAAUUUCUCGAGAGAACGUUGUGGAGAACCUAACUCAUGGAUGCUUGGUUCAGUUUUUGGGAUGAAUUGAUGACAAGGAGAGCACGUUGGAAAUAGUGGAAGUGAAAACGGGAGAGGAUGAUGGGAACGAUCAAGUACAUCACAAUCAUCGGCUUCAUGUGGCACUCCUACACCAACGCAAUUCAGGUUUGAUAAUUGAUGAGGGUGGGUGCCAUGGUCGUCUAUGCUGGGCUUCUGCAUGAUCACAUCUUCUACAUGUUCGGUGCUGGAGUGGCUGAUCUUGUGGAAGGGUUACGUUUUCCUCUUCUCAUGGAUUUUGACCAUUGUUUUAGAGGGAUUCGGAUAAUGGUUCUGGUAGUUACUACAUUCAUAUUCUUUGGCAUCCUCAAGCUGUUGGCUGGAUCUAUUGCAAUUAUUGUGAUUUAAAUUAUGAUGGCCUGCAGCAUGCCUCCCUAUAUUUAAGGCAAAUGAUAAUGGAAGUACACCUUCAUGAACAAGCUAGCCGAGGUCUUGGAAUUCCAACCUAGGUAAACAAGUGAACUCAUUUAACGGUCUCCCCUUUUCUGGUGAUGCAGGUAUAGCUCAUUCAUUAAGGGCUACUCAGCUCUGUCUUUUUCUCUCUCUUUGGUGAUUGGAUUAUAUGCUACUCUGUGUUGAAGGAUCUGUUCAUGCUAAAUUUAACAAAUCUUAUCAUGUUUUCAUAAAUUAUCUAUUUGAUUACUCUACGUGGAAUGGUAAACAUUUGUAGCAUGAUCAGGGUUUGAUUAUUUUUAUCAGUGCACAUACCUUCAAAAAAUAAACCAAUGGGGCUAUCUUGUUCGUCUUUCUACUUAUGUAUGUAUACAUAUGGGAUGCUUUGUUAGUUCUGUUGUGCAAAUAACCAUUCUUUGUGUUGAUGAGCUAUGAUAAUGGCUCCCCAAAUUACAAUACUUGCUAAAUGUACACUUUUGUUGCAAUGAAAUCCUAUUUAUAAACAGUAUAUUUUCCUAAUGGAUUGUGAUUAAACUUUGUUGCUUUUACCCACUUUGGUGCUUCUUCAGUGUAUAUGUACUAAAUCGUAAAAUAAGAUGAUUGUAUAUUUUGCUUUAUAGUACACCGGUUCAUGAGAAGAAUGCUGAGAAGAUUCAGCUUGCUGUGCUAAAUGUCAUUCUGGCUUGACUCGAUAAUAUCGUGGUAACAUGGUGGAAUAUUUUAUUUUUUAUUGUAACAAACUGUAGUCAAAUUCAUCAGAUAUAUAUAUACUUCCAGGAUCGGAGGAACAAGUAGUUUUAGCCUUCUGUUUUCGAAUUCUUAGUUUUAACAUCUCUGUACUUGUUGAAGCUGUAUCUUCAACUCUACAUGAGCAUAGUGAUAUGCAGUAUAAAACAUCUCCAUUUUUUCCUUCUUUGGUGAGCAUGGAAUAUCCAAAUUGACAUCUAGAGAUAGAUAAGUUGGUAGGGUAAUGUUCACUAGCUUUUUUUAGGAUCAAGAUUGAUGUGUUAAUUUUCUUAUCAAAGGAUGAUUAACGGAAUCGUGGUAUUGCGGCCAAAAUAUACUCUCUUCAGUUUGUUGGUAAUGAGCAAAAUGUAGUCCUGCUGUUAAUGGGCUUUGGAUUUGUGCGUGAAAUACAUUGUUGCAUGCAUGUUUCCUAAGUGAAAAAUGUAAUGGUUCUGAAUAUAGCUGGAGAUGAAUUAUUUGCAGCAUCCAGGCAACAACAGUGGCAUGGAUACAGUUAACAGUACUAGCAAUUGAUGAUAUUGUCAUAGCAAUUUUAAUUUGGAAAAAAUAUGUGAGAGAUUAGUCUUUUCUUUUCUUUCAUGCAAUGAAGAGAGUACAAAGUAUACUACAAUUUUUUGUAACCCACACAAUGAUUCAAGAAGCAGGGCCAAACAGGACCAAUGAAGACGCAUACAGUACUGUUCUUCAUGAUAUGAUGUUAAUUUUUCCCCACAAAUGAAUUUAAUAUUAAAUUCUUUGUGAGACAACUACUAAAAUGAAGUAGUUUAUGGGUUUGAAAAUUCCAUGUAUUGUGCAUAUUUUUAUGUGCGUACUUGACUCAGAUGCAAGCUAUUCGCAGUACGUAUAUUCUGAAAGAAAACAUGACGUAGCUGCUAAAUGCUCUCUGAAACAUAGCAUGUUUUUUAAAAUACUCUAUUUGCUUUGAAUGAGGUUGCCUUUUGCUUUAAACAAUUAACUGCAUUCUGAAAUACUUUUAAAUUUGGCUAAGAUUAAGAGAUCUAGCAAAUGAGUCCAAGUCUCAAAACCAGGUGCAUCUUGAGUAUUUCUCCUCCACGGCGGGUUGUCCAUCUCCAUAUAUAGUGGAGUGUUGCUCUUUCAAAAACAUCUGGUCUAUUUGAAUGGCACAUUACUGUUCCUAGUCUCCAAGAACCAGGUACAUCUCUCUUGCCUUAGCCUCUUCUGAUUAUCCUUCCUGUUAUUAUGUAGGAAGCAGAUUACCAACCUUCCAAGCUCUAUAUUCAGCCUUCCUUUCUCAUUGCUCAUACAAGUUCAAUAUAUGAACAUUCUUGUUACACUUAGUCCUUCUAGUUUCUUGAGAUAACCAUGUCUCAAUUUUUUGAACAGCUACAGUACCUGUACAGUAAGAAUCGAACUGCAAAGGAGCUGUACCAUCUGUUGUUUCAUGACUCCCUUAUGCCCUUGCGAGCAGCGGCCACCAUUGGGCAGGGACAGAGCCGUUGAGCGCCCUUGCUCGGUGGUCCACCACCCUUCUCGCCUCCCGUUCGACGCCUCUUCUCCACACCCCUUCGUUCGAUGUGCUUCGACUCAUGAUGUACCAGAGUGGAGUCAGUAUAGAUAUCAGAGGUGACCCAGAAGUUCCCUUUCAUCAUCAUUUAUAGAGCGUUCAGAGUUCCGAGCUCUGUCGACGUCGCCAGCCUUGUGAAAUGCCAACUGGUCGUCGCUUCUUUCGGUGCUGACGGGAAACACGUAGAUGUUACUGGACUGCAAUUACCCGGCGUGCUGGAUGACAUGUUUGCAUACACAGGACCGCUCAGUGCGGUUUUCAGCGAGGACUCUAUGAGCCUGCACCUUUGGGCUCCUACAACACAGGAUGUGAGUGUGUGGUUCUUAGAUGGUCCGCAGGCCCUGCUCUAGAGAUGGUGCAGCUCAAGGAGUCAAAUGGUAUUUGGAGUGUUACAUGACCAAGAGAGUGGGAAAACCGAUACUAUUUAUAUGAAGUUGACGUGUAUCAUCCAACUAAAGCACAAAUUCUGAAAUGUUUAGCUGGUGACCUUUAUGCUAGAGGGUAUGUGGCUGUGCGCAUUUCAGUUAUGUAGUUCAGGGAGAGGAACUUUCCGCAGAAGAAAAAAGUUCAGGGAGAGGAAGAAACUAGCUUGUUGUUUAUUUUAUCAGCCUUUCUGCAAAUGGACCGUGGACCUGGUUGGUUGACAUUAACGAUGAAACAUUGAAGCCAGCUUCCUGGGAUGAAUUGGCCGAUGAGAAGCCAAAACUUGAUUCCUGCUCUGACAUAACCAUCUACGAAUUGCACAUUCGUGAUUUUAGUGCCCAUGAUGGCACAAUGGACAUUGACUCUCGUGGAGGAUUUCGUGCAUUUGCAUACUAGGCCUCAGCAGGAAUGUUUGACUCAUGUGCAUUUGUUGCCAAGCUUUCAUUUUGCUGGCGUUGACGACAUUAAGAGCAACUGGAAAUUUUUCGAUUGACUUAUUUGGUUAUACGGAACUUCAUUUACUCUGGCAAAGGAGUGUGAACUAGCAACAUUCCCUCCAGGAUCAGAUAUGCAACAAGCAGCAGUAGUAGCUAUUCAGGAAGAGGACCCUUAUAAUUGGGGGUAUUCAUUUCACACUUCUUUUUCCCUGAAACAUUCCAGAUACUAAUGUAUCAUGGUGGUGUUAAUAUCGGAAAGUUAAUUAUGUUCUUGCGAGUAAAAUAUUCUUACAUAUGGUCAUAUUUAUGCUAAAGGUAUGACUCUGUGCUUUGGAAGGUUCCAAAAGGAAGUUAUGCAAGUGAUUUCAUCAGGAAAGAGAUGCAGACGAGAGGAAGAGACCUCCCCCAAGCUCUGUCUAGGCGAUGCACGGGCGACGGCCACCCUUCCUAUUAUUGCCUCCAUGGCUGACUGAUC